This 515-nucleotide ribosomal RNA is filed under the name Bacillus sp. (in: firmicutes). RNAcentral describes it as "bacterial SSU rRNA". It matches the Rfam family "Bacterial small subunit ribosomal RNA", at positions 366 to 873 of the family's 1533-position model. The record is from RNAcentral. Lineage: Bacteria; Bacillati; Bacillota; Bacilli; Caryophanales; Bacillaceae.
CCUCUGUAGGAGGAAGUCUGACGGAGCACGCCGCGUGAGUGAUGAAGGCUUUCGGGUCGUAAAACUCUGUUGUUAGGGAAGAACAAGUACGAGAGUAACUGCUCGUACCUUGACGGUACCUAACCAGAAAGCCACGGCUAACUACGUGCCAGCAGCCGCGGUAAUACGUAGGUGGCAAGCGUUAUCCGGAAUUAUUGGGCGUAAAGCGCGCGCAGGCGGUUUCUUAAGUCUGAUGUGAAAGCCCACGGCUCAACCGUGGAGGGUCAUUGGAAACUGGGGAACUUGAGUGCAGAAGAGAAAAGCGGAAUUCCACGUGUAGCGGUGAAAUGCGUAGAGAUGUGGAGGAACACCAGUGGCGAAGGCGGCUUUUUGGUCUGUAACUGACGCUGAGGCGCGAAAGCGUGGGGAGCAAACAGGAUUAGAUACCCUGGUAGUCCACGCCGUAAACGAUGAGUGCUAAGUGUUAGAGGGUUUCCGCCCUUUAGUGCUGCAGCUAACGCAUUAAGCACUCCGCC